Molecule: ribosomal RNA, 547 nt
Filed under: Tiarina fusus
Lineage: Eukaryota; Ciliophora; Prostomatea; Prorodontida; Colepidae
Description: Tiarina fusa partial Bacterial large subunit ribosomal RNA
Rfam family: Bacterial large subunit ribosomal RNA
Source: RNAcentral
AUAACUUUGUGAAUUGAAACAUCUAAUUAGCAAAAGGAAAAAAAAUCAAUCGAGAUAUUGUUAGUAGUGGUGAGCGAAAGCGAUUUUAGCCUUAUAUUGAUAUCGUGUUAAUUUCAUUUUAAGAAAAGUAACAUUUUUAAUGUUAUCUCCAAAGAAGGUGUAGAGUCCUGUAAGAAAAAUAGAGUAGCGAUAUUUAAAGUAGAGCAAGCUGUGGGUUUUGUUUGAAUAAAGGAAAACCAUUUUCUAAGGCUAAAUAUAUAUAAUAUAUUUAUAGAGUAGAGUACCGUAAGGGAACGAUGAAAAGUACCUUAAGUUAAACGUUAUGGAGUGAAAUAGACUUGAAAUUAAGCACAUAAGAGCUAUUGAAGUAACCAGAAUAAAACAGUGUUAUAACAAUGUACCUUUUGUAUAAUGGGUCGACGAGUUAAUUUAUUUAAUAAAUUUACAAGUAUGAAAGAUUUUAAAGUGUAGCGAAAGCGAGUUUGAAAUAGAGCGCGAAUUAAAUAAAUUAUAACCCGAAACUGGAUGAUCUAAUUAUGUACAGGGG